This 419-nucleotide ribosomal RNA is filed under the name uncultured bacterium. RNAcentral describes it as "bacterial SSU rRNA". It matches the Rfam family "Bacterial small subunit ribosomal RNA", at positions 355 to 774 of the family's 1533-position model. The record is from RNAcentral.
UGGGGAAUAUUGCGCAAUGGCCGAAAGGCUGACGCAGCGACGCCGCGUGGGGGAUGAAGCAUUUCGGUGUGUAAACCCCUGUUGCCCGGGACGAACAAGCAGAUUUUUCUGCUCUGACGGUACCGGGUGAGGAAGCACCGGCUAACUCCGUGCCAGCAGCCGCGGUAAUACGGAGGGUGCGAGCGUUGUCCGGAAUCACUGGGUUUAAAGGGUGCGUAGGCGGAUAUGUAAGUCAGUGGUGAAAUCAACGGGCUCAACCUGUUAACUGCCAUUGAUACUGUGUACCUUGAAUAUGAGAGAGGUAGGCGGAAUGUUGCAUGUAGCGGUGAAAUGCUUAGAUAUGCUACGGAACACCGAUUGCGAAGGCAGCUUACUAUUUCGUAAUUGACGCUGAGGCACGAAAGCGUGGGUAGCGAACA